AUUAACAUAGAUUCUUUGCUGAGGUUAACACCUUUAUAGCAAAAUAUCAAGAAAUACGGUUUCGUGUUAAAUAAAACACCAUUGAAUAAUGAAAAAUGAAAUACAAUUUUAAUCUACAGUUAAAUUAGUUAAUUAAUAAAGGUUAAUGUUAAUUAUUGUAAUGUGUCAUAUUGAUUCUUGAAGGAAGAAACAGUAACAGCUGCAACAACGUUAUCAGGCAAGCCAUUCCAUAUAUCAAAUGCACGAUUUGUCAAAUAAUUCUUUCUAACGGUAGUCUUAAAUGGUUCUUUUUUCAGCUUAUAAGAAUGACCUCUAAGUCUGUCAUGAUAUUGAAUUUGCAAGAAAUUGCGUGUUACUCCAGGAAAUAAACCAUGAGUAAGCCGAAAAAUUUGAAUUGCAUCUGCCCUGUUUUGACGAGCACGUAGAUCUGGUAUUUUGAGUAUUUCAAGACGUUGUUCAUAUGAAACUUGUCUUAAACAGUGUGUCCAUCUAGUUACCAGGUGCUGAGUUCUUUCCAGCAAAUCAAUAUCCUUUAACAAAUAAGGUCUCCAGACUGGAAUGGCAAAUUCCAAAUGCGGCCUUAUGUAAGUGAUGUACACUUUUGAAAUAAAACUGACUGAAGGAUUUGGAAAAACAUGCUUUAGCAAAUAAAACAUUUUACGCGCUCGACCCACUGAUGCUAGACAUUGCUCUGACCAUCCUAACUUAUCAUUUACAAUGACCCCUAGAUCUUUGGUUGAGGUUUUUACACUCAGGAGUGUGCCAUUUAUAUGGUAAAGGUACUUUGGGUUGUUGUGGCCACACUGAAGUACACAGCAUUUUGCAAUAUUUAGUGGUAUUUGCCACUUCUCGCUCCAUUGGAAGAUUAAAUUAAGUUGGUCUUGCAAGUCCGUGACAAGUGGGUUAGCAAAUAACUUAAUAUCAUCCGCAUAUGCUGAAUAGCUGUCCAGUGAAAACAAUAAAUCUGCUGUAUAUAACAAGAAUAAAAUUGGUCCAAGAACUGAUCCCUGUGGGACCCCACUUAAUACUGGUUUAGAGUACGAAAAUUUACCACAGACUUUUACACAAUAGUUUCGAUUUGAUAGAAACGCUCGGAUCCAAUCAAGCAAAUUUCCUGUUACACCAUAGGACUCCAGUUUUGCUAACAAGAGAUUGUGAGGGACUUUAUCAAAGGCUUUACUAAAAUCAAGGUAAAUUAUGUCUACAGGUUGGUUAGUGUCUAACAUUUUUGUCCAUAGAUUUGUGCAGGAUAGCAAAUUUGUGACAACUGACCUACCUGGUAAAAAGCCGUGCUGAUGCUCAGCAUGUCGACGUGAGACUUACAGGUCUAUAGUUAGCAGGAUCAAGUUUAUCUCCUGACUUGUACAAAGGCGUGAUUGUUGCUUGCAACCACUCGUAGGGCAAAGUGCCUUGUAAGAAUGAUUUUGUCAUCAUUUUGGCAAGUGGGCCCGACAACGAAGCAGCACAAGUUCUCAGGAGUUUGGGAGGUAUCUGAUCCGGACCUGGAGCUGUAUUUAAUUUAAUGGCACAGAGUUGGCUUUUUACCAGAUCCGGAGUAAAAUUAAUAUAAGACAACCCACUAAAUGUAGCAGCAAAACUGUCCGCUAAAGUGUUUGCAGUUUCUGUAUGAUCGGAGCAGAGUAGACCUGAAGCAUUUCGUACUAAAGGGACCGACACACGACUAGAGAUAAAUUUACGUACAUGGGAAUAAAAUAGUUUUGGUUUAUUUAAUAUAGAAUUUUCAUAAUUACACCUGGCUAUUUGUAAAUCAGAUUUUAGUUGGUUAGAAAAUCUUUUAUAAGCAGAAAAAUUAUCUUCAGUAGGCUUCCUUUUAAAUUUUUUCCAUAAUUUAGCUUUGUAUUUUAUUUUGUCAAGCAUGUGGUGAUUUAUCCACGGUUUAUCUUUUCUCAGUCGGUUUGUAAACAGUCUGGAAUUUGUUGUAAUGCAAGUUUGUAAAAUCGAUUUAAAAUGUUUCCAUUGUUCUUCCGCAUUUAGUGAAUCUAAACCAUUCCAGUCGUAAGUCAAGAGACUUUCGUCUAUGCGAGUGUAGUCAACAAUUGAUGUUGUUUUAAUUCUUGCAUUUGGCUCUGAAUAUAUCAUAAUUUGUAACUCAAUUUCGAUUUUUGAAUGAUCAGAUGUACCUACAGGAUUCAAAACGUUUAAAGACGAUACAAGGUUAACGUCAGACAAAAUUACCAAAUCAAGUAAUGAAGGACGUUGUUGGGAUCUAAAUCGUGUAGGUUCAGUGACUAUUUGUGACAAAUUAUUCUCCAAGAGCAAUUCAGAAAAUUGUUUUUCGAUGAUUGUUUGACCUGUUGUGUUUUUAGCAGACCAGUCUAUACAUGGAAAAUUGAAAUCUCCCAUGAUAAUUAAGUUAGGAUACUGAUUAAUAGUUGAUUGUAUGGUAUUAAAUAGAUUUUUAUCAUUUUCGUGAUUGUUAAAAGACGCUCCUGUUGGUGGUCUGUAAAUACAUGCUAUAACAAAGGUUUGUUCAUUUCCUUCAAAUUUUAACCAUAGAGAAUCAUAAGGUUUAACAGAUAUGCAAAUUUGAGUAAUUUUAAAAAAUUUUGAAAUUUUAAUUUUAUCUACAUAAAAACACACACCGCCACCUUUUUGAGAUAGGCGAUCAUCUCUGUAAAUAGAGUAAUUUUCAAUGUGUACAGCAUCAUCAGAGAUAGACGGAUUAAGCCAAGUCUCCGUGAGUGCGAUAAUAGAAGGUCUAAAUUCAGUUACUUCUAAUAACAAAUCAUUAAAUUUUGAAGAUAAAGAUGCGAUAUUCGUAUACAGAAGAGCCAUUGAACAAGGUAAUUUCCAGAGGAAACAACAACAACCACAUACACCCAGAUAUCAAAUUCAACAAUCAACACCAAGAAUCAACCACUGAAAAUGAAUCCCAAAGGCAAGAGCACGCAGAGACACGACUGCACUCUCAUACGCACACGCAGUUAUGUAUCACUUUGAAUAA
Molecule: long non-coding RNA, 2965 nt
Organism: Tribolium castaneum (red flour beetle)
Lineage: Eukaryota; Metazoa; Arthropoda; Insecta; Coleoptera; Tenebrionidae
Exons: 4
Source: RefSeq, a predicted model, not a curated record